This 205-nucleotide long non-coding RNA is filed under the name Elaeis guineensis (African oil palm). Its description in RNAcentral is "long non-coding RNA (EGUI_LNC068151)". Lineage: Eukaryota; Viridiplantae; Streptophyta; Magnoliopsida; Arecales; Arecaceae. The record is from RNAcentral.
GGAUUACUUUGACCAAAGUUUUACUAAAUUAAAAUAUAAUGAUGCAUCAUCUUCAAUUUUAUUUGGAGUGAUCAAUUCUAUCUUGACUCGCACUCAGACUUCACAAGUACUUAACUAUACCCAGAAACCUUCCAUCAUCGAAUAAAAAAUUUAGAUAGUCCAGCACCAAAUCAUAGUGAGUUGCUUGCAAGUCACUAAGAUAGUC